Molecule: unclassified non-coding RNA, 391 nt
Filed under: soil metagenome
Description: partial contains 5.8S ribosomal RNA, internal transcribed spacer 2, and large subunit ribosomal RNA
Rfam family: 5.8S ribosomal RNA (bases 1-122)
Source: RNAcentral
GAUGAAGAACUUAGCGAAAUGCGAUACUUGGUGUGAAUUGCAGAAUCCCGUGAACCAUCGAGUCUUUGAACGCAAGUUGCGCCCGAAGCCAUUAGGCCGAGGGCACGCCUGCCUGGGCGUCACACGUCGUUGCCCCCCCAUCUACUCCUUCGGGAUUGCGGGGGGCGGAUGAUGGCCUCCCGUGCGCCUCGUCGCGCGGUUGGCAUAAAUGCCAAGUCCUCGGCGACGCACGCCACGACAAUCGGUGGUUGCGAAACCUCGGUUGCCCGUCGUGUGCGGUCGUCGCGCAUCGAGGGCUCGAAAAAAUUGCCGGGCUCCGGCUCGGCUUUCAACGCGACCCCAGGUCAGGCGGGGUUACCCGCUGAAUUUAAGCAUAUCAAUAAGCGGAGGA